UGUGGCUGGCUGGCUGUCUCUCUGUGUGUGUGGCUGGCUGUCUCUCUGUGUGGCUGACUGUCUCUUUGUGUGGCUGGCUGUCUCUUUGUGUGGCUGGCUGUCUCUUUGUGUGGCUGGCUGGCUCUCUGUGUGGCUGGCUGGCUGUUUCUCUGUGUGGCUGGCUGUCUCUCUGUGUGUCUGGCUGUCUCUCUGUAUGGCUGGCUGUCUCUCUGUGUGGCUGGCUGUCUCUCAGUGUGGCUGGCUGUCUCUCAGUGUGGCUGGCUGUCUCUUU
Molecule: non-coding RNA, 271 nt
Organism: Pelobates cultripes (western spadefoot toad)
Lineage: Eukaryota; Metazoa; Chordata; Amphibia; Anura; Pelobatidae
Source: the annotation of a GenBank genome assembly